CGUCUCCCCAGGCUGCCCAAGCGACAGCUGUCAGAGGGACUGGAGCUUCUGGGAACCGCCAUCUGAAGGCUACGUGUGCCGCCUGGUCAUUCAAAUUGUCAAUUUUAGGCCCAGAAGUGUCCAAACCACAAGUUCUCAAAACUCUCUGAAAAAUGGCUACCUCCGAGUUAAGCAAUUCUGAAAGGCAUUCUCUGGGAAAAGUCUGUGGAGAAGCAGGGAUCUUCUUGCAAAUAAUGUGGUCUCGGGCAAAGACUCAGCAUCUUGGCUGUCUGCUCAAAAAAUGCAUAGACUCUUGGUGGAAAUUGUGUGUCGAGCUGCAAAACCUCAAUUGGCAGAUUAUCAUCA
This is a long non-coding RNA of Capra hircus (goat), 345 nucleotides long. RefSeq lists it as uncharacterized. The record is from RefSeq and is a predicted model, not a curated record. Lineage: Eukaryota; Metazoa; Chordata; Mammalia; Artiodactyla; Bovidae. The transcript has 3 exons.